UGCGUAGGCGGUUUAUUAAGUCAGUGGUGAAAGUGUACAGCUCAACUGUAGAAGUGCCAUUGAUACUGGUAGACUUGAGUAUACUAUAGGCAGGCGGAAUUUAUGAUGUAGCGGUGAAAUGCAUAGAUAUCAUAAAGAACCCCGAUAGCGAAGGCAGCUUGCCGGAGUAUAACUGACGCUGAUGCACGAAAGCGUGGGUAGCGAACAGGAUUAGAUACCCUGGUAGUCC
RNAcentral lists this ribosomal RNA (229 nucleotides) under uncultured bacterium. RNAcentral describes it as "partial 16S ribosomal RNA". It matches the Rfam family "Bacterial small subunit ribosomal RNA", at positions 568 to 796 of the family's 1533-position model. The record is from RNAcentral.